Long non-coding RNA from Parus major (Great Tit), 1767 nucleotides. RefSeq lists it as uncharacterized. Lineage: Eukaryota; Metazoa; Chordata; Aves; Passeriformes; Paridae. The transcript is spliced from 2 exons. The record is from RefSeq and is a predicted model, not a curated record.
AGACGGAGGGAAGAAGAACCGGACGGGGUGGGGACCCACGCGAGCUGCCACCGCCUUGCGCGGUUCCGGCUGGCGCGUGCUCCCGGCUCCUCCCCCGUUCCCUGUGUCCCCCCCGCUCUCCGCCCAGCUCCCUAGGGCCGGUGCGCAGGCGCGGCGCCCGGCCGGGCAGGGCGGUGGCCUGAGGAGGCAGCGGGACCCGGCAGUGGGUGCCGGCCCCACGGAGCCGCCGGCCCGCGGGGAUGGCCCCGGGCAGCGCCCCCGAACCGCCGAGCGGGGACAGCUUGCGCGGCGGCGGCGGCUGCGCAGGCGCGGCGGGGCGGGGUCGGGUCGGUCCGGGGGGGGCGCUCGGGAAUGUCGGCUUAUGGGGUUCUGCGCUGUCCUGAGUGGUUUCAGCCGCCCGAACACCCUAUUUCUUACUUCACUCUCUUUUUCCGAAGGUUGCUGUAGAAUAAGCGGGUAUGAUAUUUGAGAAGUGCAGUGGCUGUCGGUGAGGGACGACACCCGUGACUGCAGGAGCUCUGUACGCGGCUGUUACAAAGGAUAAAGGACGGGUUUUAGCUGCUUUCCCUUUAUUCUGCUUCAGUCACUAGUUGUACUGAUGCAGACUUGCAAGACCUUGGCUUUCUCAUGUGCUUGUGCUCGUCCAUAUGAUACUAAUCAUGAUGGUGACACCUAGGGAGUAGUAAAUAAUGGAAAUCCAAAAGUGCAAGGGUAAGAGUGGCAAUGGUGGAUUUUCUGGUGGUGAAAAACCAUAACAGACUAGCAUACAAUUUAAACACUGGAUGUAAUUCUCUGUGAUUCUCACCUUAAUACCCCAAAGGUGUGGCAUGUGAAGACUAUAAAUUUUCCAUUCCUGUAUCAGAACAUGAGUAAUCAAGGUGUUUGCAUGAGACUGGAGCUUUGGAUGCUGGGAUCUAUUUUUUUUCCAGGUCACACCUCUUCAUGAAAGAUGAAGACAAUUACAGGCUUCAGUUGGGUCUCUUGCAAUCUUCUACACUAUUCACAGCAAGUUACAUUCAUCAUGGAAGUAACAUUGCAGUCAUUCCAUCCUUAUUUCAUAAAUUAUUUCAGCAUGGACAUAUAAUCAGAUUGUAGCUUUUAUAUAAAAUAUGGAGCCUGGCAGUAAUUGUAUAAUCCAUACAUUUUAGAAAAAAAGUCAAAUGCACUGAUGUGACAGGACAAUGAUGGACUGUGACUUUUUCAGUAUGUUCAAACAUGUCAGUUUUAUUAGCAUUUUGGGAAAUAUAAUUCAAACGACCUGAGUUAAAUCUUUUACUAUGAUUCUUCUGUAGGAACUAUUAUAUAGUUACAGCAUCAAAGAUUUCUAAUUUAUUUGCAUGAGAGUUUUCUUUGUUAGAAAUGUUCUUAAAACUUAGGCUGUCUUGUCUCUCUUUACAGAAAAACAUUACUUGGAGAUAGAAUAUGUGUGAAGGAGAUGUCAGUCACCAUAUUCCAUUAAACCCAAGCUUUUGUAGUGAAGAACAGCAUUUUCUUGUUAGUGUGCACAACAUUAGAAUGAAGUGGCUUUGCUUUGCCUAGUUAUUUUUUUUUUAAAUUUUUUGAAUGUGUACAGUGUUGGGGUUUUGUGCAUAAGAUGGAAUUUACAGACAGUCUGGCACAUGAAAUAUGGUUGAACUGGAAUUGUUCUGUGGCUCCUGUGUUUGAAUUCCUAACGUGGUUUAGAAUUUAAAUAUUCUCUUUCUCAGGAAAACAGAAGGGCUGCAUUGGAUGGAUGACCCCAUCAGUCAAAUAAAAACAUUGGUUUCA